Coffea arabica (coffee) is the source of this 1157-nucleotide non-coding RNA. The record is from RefSeq and is a predicted model, not a curated record. NCBI's taxonomy places the organism in Eukaryota, Viridiplantae, Streptophyta, Magnoliopsida, Gentianales, Rubiaceae.
CUUUUUGUGUGCAUUUCUUUCUGCCAUUGUUUUCCUGGUUUGGUUAAACAGGGAAGAAAAAUAUUCUUAAUCUUGGGAUUUUACAGAAAUGUACGAUAAUGUUGGAAAGCCUGGGGUGCCAAGACAGCCACCAAACUCACAACCAAAUCCAUUGGGAUCCUUUUUUUGCAGGAUUGUCCUUUGCUUAUCAGCUUUUAUAUUCUACCAGAUGCUACUGGGUUCUACUUUUUGAGAUUACACGCUCUUGGAAUUCAUGUUUGUCCAGCUAAAGCCAGGAGUUGGUACUUUUUCUAGGCAGUACAAGGCGCACUUCUAAGCAGUAUGUAUGCAGUUCUUGACUAUGCACGAACUGGUUUGAUUGCUACAGUAUUUUUUCUUUAAAGUAAGAGCACUUCACCAAGAUUAUGUCAAAUCGUACAUUAGCAGCUUUAUUUGAUUCUUUCUUUAUCUUCAUGUCAUUGUCUUAUCAUCAUUGGUUCAUUUGAUUUUUCUAUUGGUUUCAUCUUCUUCUUUAUUUAUUUUAAAGUCCCCUUCAUCUGGGGACUGUUUUUCAUUCUAUUAAAAACUCUGUUUGUUUCAGACUUGAUCAUGUUGAAUCAUGCACCUAAUUAGUUGUAUUUUCUUUUUCAUUGUUGUCAUGUACUCUCUCUCUUUCUCUCUCACUCAAAGAAACACAGACAUCCACACAAGAUAAUUGAUAAAAUUCAUAACUUUUCAUUAUUGAUGUGCAUGUCAGAUGAUGGAAGGGUGGCACCAAUCUGCUGAGGAGAGAAUGUCUGCUCCAACAGUGUAUCCCCCGCCACCGCCUUCUCCUCCCCCAAAGGUUGCAAAGGAGGGAAUUCCACUGCCUCCAGAUAGAAUGUUAUGCCCUUUGCGUUCACAAAAGUGUGUAAAUCCAUCAGCUGUAGCUGUUUCAGGAUUUGUCUUUUGUUAUUCUUGCAUAUUUAAAUAAGUCUCUUAGGUUUGUUUCUCCAUACUUUUGUAUUGAUCAUGGUAAAAUUGCAGAACUACUGCCAAAUAUUGUUUCUAAGUGAUGCUUUCUCUUAUGUCGCAUUUCAAGAAGCUUUAUCAUUUUCUAUAUAGUGUACGCUAAACUUAAACAGUAAAUUGUACACUGUAGCCAGAAAUUCAAUUUUGCAACUAAUUCUUUUGUUUAA